CAGUAGCCGCGGGAAUACAGAGGACGCAAGCGUUAUCCGGAAUGAUUGGGCGUAAAGCGUGCGCAGGCGGUUCGUUAAGACAGAUGUGAAAUCCCCGGGCUUAACCUGGGAACUGCAUUUGUGACUGGCGAGCUAGAGUAUGGCAGAGGGGGGUAGAAUUCCACGUGUAGCAGUGAAAUGCGUAGAGAUGUGGAGGAAUACCGAUGGCGAAGGCAGCCCCCUGGGCCAAUACUGACGCUCAUGCACGAAAGCGUGGGGAGCAAACAGGAUUAGAGACCCCUGUAGUCCCUGUCUCUUAUAA
RNAcentral lists this ribosomal RNA (301 nucleotides) under uncultured bacterium. Its description in RNAcentral is "partial 16S ribosomal RNA". It matches the Rfam family "Bacterial small subunit ribosomal RNA", at positions 509 to 809 of the family's 1533-position model. The record is from RNAcentral.